This 564-nucleotide ribosomal RNA is filed under the name Streptomyces sp. 316G03. RNAcentral's name for it is "bacterial SSU rRNA". It matches the Rfam family "Bacterial small subunit ribosomal RNA", at positions 93 to 671 of the family's 1533-position model. The record is from RNAcentral. RNAcentral also lists the same sequence under 4 other names. Lineage: Bacteria; Bacillati; Actinomycetota; Actinomycetes; Kitasatosporales; Streptomycetaceae.
UAGUGGCGAACGGGUGAGUAACACGUGGGCAAUCUGCCCUGCACUCUGGGACAAGCCCUGGAAACGGGGUCUAAUACCGGAUAUGAGCUGGAACCGCAUGGUUCUGGUUGUAAAGCUCCGGCGGUGCAGGAUGAGCCCGCGGCCUAUCAGCUUGUUGGUGAGGUAAUGGCUCACCAAGGCGACGACGGGUAGCCGGCCUGAGAGGGCGACCGGCCACACUGGGACUGAGACACGGCCCAGACUCCUACGGGAGGCAGCAGUGGGGAAUAUUGCACAAUGGGCGAAAGCCUGAUGCAGCGACGCCGCGUGAGGGAUGACGGCCUUCGGGUUGUAAACCUCUUUCAGCAGGGAAGAAGCGAAAGUGACGGUACCUGCAGAAGAAGCGCCGGCUAACUACGUGCCAGCAGCCGCGGUAAUACGUAGGGCGCAAGCGUUGUCCGGAAUUAUUGGGCGUAAAGAGCUCGUAGGCGGCUUGUCACGUCGAUUGUGAAAGCCCGGGGCUUAACCCCGGGUCUGCAGUCGAUACGGGCUAGCUAGAGUGUGGUAGGGGAGAUCGGAAUUCCU